Molecule: ribosomal RNA, 568 nt
Filed under: uncultured Gloeotrichia sp.
Lineage: Bacteria; Bacillati; Cyanobacteriota; Cyanophyceae; Nostocales; Gloeotrichiaceae
Description: bacterial SSU rRNA
Rfam family: Bacterial small subunit ribosomal RNA
Source: RNAcentral
UCCUACGGGAGGCAGCAGUGGGGAAUUUUCCGCAAUGGGCGAAAGCCUGACGGAGCAAUACCGCGUGAGGGAGGAAGGCUCUUGGGUCGUAAACCUCUUUUCUCAGGGAAGAAAAAAAUGACGGUACCUGAGGAAUAAGCAUCGGCUAACUCCGUGCCAGCGGCCGCGGUAAUACGGAGGAUGCAAGCGUUAUCCGGAAUGAUUGGGCGUAAAGCGUCCGCAGGUGGCUAUGUAAGUCUGCUGUUAAAGAGUCUAGCUCAACUAGAUAAAAGCAGUGGAAACUACAUGGCUAGAGUGCGUUCGGGGCAGAGGGAAUUCCUGGUGUAGCGGUGAAAUGCGUAGAGAUCAGGAAGAACACCGGUGGCGAAAGCGCUCUGCUAGGCCGCAACUGACACUGAGGGACGAAAGCUAGGGGAGCGAAUGGGAUUAGAUACCCCAGUAGUCCUAGCCGUAAACGAUGGAUACUAGGCGUGGCUUGUAUCGACCCGAGCCGUGCCGUAGCUAACGCGUUAAGUAUCCCGCCUGGGGAGUACGCACGCAAGUGUGAAACUCAAAGGAAUUGACGGGG